This 460-nucleotide ribosomal RNA is filed under the name uncultured bacterium. RNAcentral's name for it is "partial 16S ribosomal RNA". It matches the Rfam family "Bacterial small subunit ribosomal RNA", at positions 338 to 795 of the family's 1533-position model. The record is from RNAcentral.
CCUACGGGAGGCAGCAGUGAGGAAUAUUGGUCAAUGGGCGAGAUCCUGAACCAGCCAAGCCGCGUGAGGGAUGACGGCCCUAUGGGUCGUAAACCUCUUUUGUCAGAGAACAAAACCCGGGACGUGUCCCGGACUGCAUGUAUCCUAUGAAUAAGCAUCGGCUAACUCCGUGCCAGCAGCCGCGGUACUACGGAGGAUCCGAGCGUUAUCCGGAUUUAUUUGGUUUAAAGGGUGCGUAGGCGGGCUCUUAAGUCAGCGGGGAAAGUCUGGGGCUCAACCCAAGAAGAGCCGUUGACACGGGCAGGCUUGAGUUGGUUAGAGGCAGGCGGAAUGCGUGGUGUAGCGGUGAAAUGCUUAGAUAUCACGCAGAACCCCGAUUGCGAAGGCAGCGUGCCAGGGCAUGACUGACGCUGAGGCACGAAAGCGUGGGGAUCAAACAGGAUUAGAUACCCUAGUAGUC